UAAUUCUAGAGCUAAUACAUGCUAAAAACCCCAACUUCGGGAGGGGUGUAUUUAUUAGAUAAAAAACCAAUGCCCUUCGGGGCUCUUUGGUGAUUCAUGAUAACUUAACGGAUCGCAUGGCCUUGCGCCGGCGACGGUUCAUUCAAAUUUCUGCCCUAUCAACUUUCGAUGGUAAGGUAUUGGCUUACCAUGGUUUCAACGGGUAACGGGGAAUUAGGGUUCGAUUCCGGAGAGGGAGCCUGAGAAACGGCUACCACAUCCAAGGAAGGCAGCAGGCGCGCAAAUUACCCAAUCCCGACACGGGGAGGUAGUGACAAUAAAUACUGAUACAGGGCUCUUUUGGGUCUUGUAAUUGGAAUGAGUACAAUUUAAACCCCUUAACGAGGAACAAUUGGAGGGCAAGUCUGGUGCCAGCAGCCGCGGUAAUUCCAGCUCCAAUAGCGUAUAUUAAAGUUGUUGCAGUUAAAAAGCUCGUAGUUGAAACUUGGGCCUGGCUGUCUGGUCCGCCUCACCGCGUGUACUGGUUCGGCCGGGCCUUUCCUUCUGGAGAGCCUCAUGCCCUUCACUGGGUGUGUUGGGGAACCAGGACUUUUACUUUGAAAAAAUUAGAGUGUUCAAAGCAGGCCUUUGCUCGAAUACGUUAGCAUGGAAUAAUAGAAUAGGACGUGCGAUCCUAUUUUGUUGGUUUCUAGGACCGCCGUAAUGAUUAAUAGGGAUAGUCGGGGGCAUCAGUAUUCAAUUGUCAGAGGUGAAAUUCUUGGAUUUAUUGAAGACUAACUACUGCGAAAGCAUUUGCCAAGGAUGUUUUCAUUAAUCAG
RNAcentral lists this ribosomal RNA (818 nucleotides) under Trematosphaeria hydrela. Its description in RNAcentral is "SSU rRNA". It matches the Rfam family "Eukaryotic small subunit ribosomal RNA", at positions 153 to 980 of the family's 1831-position model. Lineage: Eukaryota; Fungi; Ascomycota; Dothideomycetes; Pleosporales; Trematosphaeriaceae. The record is from RNAcentral.